RNAcentral lists this ribosomal RNA (506 nucleotides) under uncultured bacterium. Its description in RNAcentral is "partial 16S ribosomal RNA". It matches the Rfam family "Bacterial small subunit ribosomal RNA", at positions 29 to 523 of the family's 1533-position model. The record is from RNAcentral.
AGUGAACGCUGGCGGUAGGCCUAACACAUGCAAGUCGAACGGCAGCACAGGAGAGCUUGCUCUCUGGGUGGCGAGUGGCGGACGGGUGAGGAAUACAUCGGAAUCUACUCUGUCGUGGGGGAUAACGUAGGGAAACUUACGCUAAUACCGCAUACGACCUACGGGUGAAAGCAGGGGAUCUUCGGACCUUGCGCGAUUGGAUGAGCCGAUGGCGGAUUAGCUAGUUGGCGGGGUAAAGGCCCACCAAGGCGACGAUCCGUAGCUGGUCUGAGAGGAUGAUCAGCCAGACUGGAACUGAGACACGGUCCAGACUCCUACGGGAGGCAGCAGUGGGGAAUAUUGGACAAUGGGCGCAAGCCUGAUCCAGCCAUACCGCGUGGGUGAAGAAGGCCUUCGGGUUGUAAAGCCCUUUUGUUGGGAAAGAAAUCCAGCUGGCUAAUACCCGGUUGGGAUGACGGUACCCAAAGAAUAAGCACCGGCUAACUUCGUGCCAGCCGCCGCAGUAA